UUCCCUAUGUUGCUUCGACCUUUUCUAAAAAGCCAAGAAAGUUACCCAACAAAGUAAAGGACUUCGUCUUAGUCUACUUUCAGGUCAUUGAAGAGUUCGUCCUUUGAGUCAGUGGAUUGUUGCUGGAAGCUGUUCUUAAGGGCUGUCUACCGGCUCCAAGCCGUGUAAGAAAGUGAGUCAGUUCCUGCCUUUCAUUUUGGUCAAGGAAGUGGGCGCUCGUAGCCCUCGAAGGCAAAAAGGUGACCAAUCAGCGCAGUCAUUCCAGGACAUCGAGUCAUCGAAGUCAGAGUCCCCGGCGUAGUUCCUUUUCAAAGAUGAGUCCGAGUGUGAGUCUGUGCGGGCAAUCCAUUUUUUUUCUCCUCACCCUCAACACGAUGCCUUAAAGGUAUUAAAGAGAAUCCAACUAAAGAGGCUUCGGGAUAUUUUCUUUAUUUGUAGAUAGGUCAGGAUCGACCGCCUUGACACCUUAGUAUCAGGAAGACCAACCCUCCUCGUGCGGGAAAGAGGACAACAAGGGCUAGGCCCUCCCUAUCAAACAUUUGUAACUAACUACUGAAGGAAGCGGAUCGAUCGAAAGAGGACUCACUAUAGGUUCGAUCGACUUCUUUCUCUUGAN
RNAcentral lists this long non-coding RNA (616 nucleotides) under Panax ginseng (ginseng). Its description in RNAcentral is "long non-coding RNA (PGIN_LNC006801)". Lineage: Eukaryota; Viridiplantae; Streptophyta; Magnoliopsida; Apiales; Araliaceae. The record is from RNAcentral.